RNAcentral lists this long non-coding RNA (1767 nucleotides) under Hordeum vulgare. RNAcentral's name for it is "long non-coding RNA (HVUL_LNC006012)". Lineage: Eukaryota; Viridiplantae; Streptophyta; Magnoliopsida; Poales; Poaceae. The record is from RNAcentral.
UCCAACUGACGGUUGUAGAUGGUCUCACAGACUUUCAUCAGCUCGGGCCGCUUCUCGUUCAGCAGCAGGCCAAACAAACAGGGCCUAAGCAAACAACAAUUAAUUUGCUUGUCUAUAUCACAGCUCCUCCGCCCAAAAGAGAAAAACAACACAAACAUGUCUAUAGUUGCUUGCAAACAAAAAUGUUCCUCCAUGGGUUUCGCCUUUGCAUGAACACAGCGGACACAGUAUAUAUUCCCAUCAGGCUGUGAACCCGGAACGACAGAAUCAUUGAACCACAUGCAAGGCUGUCCUGUCAUGUCCUGCCCAGUCCAUGCGUGAAUGCCUGCUUAAUUUGUAGAGUACUGCCGAAAGCUAAUCUCUCCGCCCAUUCAGCACCAUCAUCAUGGAAAGAGAAACAAACAUACGCACGUAUAUGGCCAUCAUGACACGGGCAGUACCGCCACUGUUACCUAGGUGUAGUUGUAGUAGCAGUACUCCUACCAUCACUGAAGAUCAUCGAAGCCGGCUGUGAGUGUUGAGGGACUCAACGCCCAACCAGACCCAGACGUGAGGAGAUUCAAGAGGAAACUUCACGUACUACUAUUCAUUUGCUUGCCAUUAACGGGGCGCACCGUGCCGAUUUCGUGCUGCUAUGAAACAAGUAGUAACAGCUUGCCGUGCCGAUUUGGUACUACUGCCAUUUUGGCGCGUAAGAUUUCUGUGGAAGCCGCGGGAAGAAUCUCAAACUUUCCCGUACGUGACCAUUGCUAGGUCUACCUAGGAGUUAUUAGGUCAUUUAAAUCUGCUACGCAUCUUUCUGGAUAACCAUGUAAAAACCGACUAUCCUGUUUGGAAUCAAAAGUGAAUAAGCAUUCAUCCACGAUUACAGGAGUAUGAAUAUCCCUCGGAGAAACGCGAUGAUACACGGAGUUUCGUCGGUUUCAGGACGAGUGGGAGAAGCGUCGGUUACGGGGAAGAACCGCCCGACGGUUUAGGAGAAAGCACAUUUCCAUAAUUACAUUAAUGUAAUUAAUCUUAUCACUCCCCUAAUCUAUGUUUGAUCAUGUAGAAUCAUCUUCACGAUUGUCCGGAAAGCUCUAUCAUCUCAAAAGAUUCUCCUCCAAAAGUUCUUCAUCAAAAUUUUGAUGAGAUCCUGAAUCAUAUACUCACAAAGAGAUAGCAUAAUGUGAUGUCAUUAAACAAUGAUAUCUCAAGAAAGAGACUUUCCCUGAUGUGUGUAAGUCCCUUAGUCGUCGCAUACCAAUUCCAUGAACAUAUUUCUGGAAUGUUGAGUUUGGUAGAGACUUAGUAGAUAAAUCAGCAAGGUUGUCAUAUGAUUUGACUUGUAAGAUGCUUAUUUUCCCGUUUUUCUGAAGAUUAUGGGGGAAAACCACUUAGGAGAAAUAUGCUUAGCGAUAUUCUUUUGAUGUAUCAUGUUUGCAUUUGUGCAACACAUGCCGCAUUAUCCUCAUAGAUAAUGAUGGGUGAUCCUAUCGAACCAAUUCCAUAUGAUUGUUGUAUAUGGUUUAUCAUUCUGCGAAGCCAUACACAUUCACAUGAUGCUUUAAAUAAUUAAAAAAAUUCAGAAUGAUUUGUAGAUGUUGCCACUAGAGUCUAUUUUGAAGACUUCCAUGGUAUAACAGUAUCACCAUGUAGGAACACAAAGCCGGUCUGUGAUCUGGCAUUAUGGAGAUCACACAAAUAGCCGGCAUCUGCAUAUCCAAUCAUAUCAGAGUCCAGAUUUCUCUAGAACUGAAAAAAUAGGCCAAGAUCAUUUGUGCCUUG